Molecule: ribosomal RNA, 466 nt
Filed under: uncultured bacterium
Lineage: Bacteria
Description: bacterial SSU rRNA
Rfam family: Bacterial small subunit ribosomal RNA
Source: RNAcentral
GAUGAACGCUGGCGGCGUGCUUAACACAUGCAAGUCGAACGGGGAACAAAUUAUUGAAGCUUCGGCAGAUCUAGCUUGUUCCUAGUGGCGGACGGGUGAGUAACGCGUGGGUAACCUGCCUCACACUGGGGGAUAACAGUCAGAAAUGGCUGCUAAUACCGCAUAAGCGCAUAGUACCGCAUGGUACAGUGUGAAAAACUCCGGUGGUGUGAGAUGGACCCGCGUUGGAUUAGCUAGUUGGCAGGGCAGCGGCCUACCAAGGCGACGAUCCAUAGCCGGCCUGAGAGGGUGAACGGCCACAUUGGGACUGAGACACGGCCCAGACUCCUACGGGAGGCAGCAGUGGGGAAUAUUGCACAAUGGGGGAAACCCUGAUGCAGCGACGCCGCGUGAAGGAAGAAGUAUCUCGGUAUGUAAACUUCUAUCAGCAGGGAAGAAAAUGACGGUACCKACUWAGAAGCCCGGA